This 460-nucleotide ribosomal RNA is filed under the name uncultured bacterium. RNAcentral's name for it is "partial 16S ribosomal RNA". It matches the Rfam family "Bacterial small subunit ribosomal RNA", at positions 338 to 795 of the family's 1533-position model. The record is from RNAcentral.
CCUACGGGUGGCAGCAGUGAGGAAUAUUGGUCAAUGGGCGGAAGCCUGAACCAGCCAAGUCGCGUGAGGGAAUAAGGCCCUACGGGUCGUAAACCUCUUUUGCCGGGGAGUAAGGGCCGGGACGCGUCCCGGCUCGGAUAGUACCCGUAGAAAAAGCAUCGGCUAACUCCGUGCCAGCAGCCGCGGUAAUACGGAGGAUGCGAGCGUUAUCCGGAUUUUUUGGGUUUAAAGGGUGCGUAGGCGGGCUUUUAAGUCAGCGGUAAAAAUUUGGGGCUCAACCGCGGCCGGCCGUUGAAACUGGGGGCCUUGAGUGCGCGUGAAGAAGGCGGAAUGCGUGGUGUAGCGGUGAAAUGCAUAGAUAUCACGCAGAACCCCGAUUGCGAAGGCAGUCUUCCGGCGCCCUACUGACGCUGAGGCACGAAAGUGCGGGGAUCGAACAGGAUUAGAUACCCCGGUAGUC